This 207-nucleotide ribosomal RNA is filed under the name uncultured delta proteobacterium. RNAcentral describes it as "partial 16S ribosomal RNA". It matches the Rfam family "Bacterial small subunit ribosomal RNA", at positions 568 to 774 of the family's 1533-position model. Lineage: Bacteria; Deltaproteobacteria. The record is from RNAcentral.
GGUGUAGGUGGCUUUAUAAGUCAGAUGUGAAAUCCCGGGGCUUAACCCCGGAAGUGCAUUUGAUACUGCAAAGCUUGAGUGCCGGAGAGGUUACUGGAAUACCUGGUGUAGUGGUGAAAUACGUAGAUAUCAGGUGGAACACCGGAGGCGAAGGCGGGUAACUGGCCGGACACUGACACUCAGACCCGAAAGCGUGGGGAUCAAACA